This 505-nucleotide ribosomal RNA is filed under the name uncultured bacterium. Its description in RNAcentral is "partial 16S ribosomal RNA". It matches the Rfam family "Bacterial small subunit ribosomal RNA", at positions 28 to 507 of the family's 1533-position model. The record is from RNAcentral.
GACGAACGCUGGCGGCGUGCCUAAUACAUGCAAGUCGAACGCACAGUUUAUACCGUAGCUUGCUACACCAUAGACUGUGAGUUGCGAACGGGUGAGUAACGCGUAGGUAACCUGCCUGGUAGCGGGGGAUAACUAUUGGAAACGAUAGCUAAUACCGCAUAAUAUUGAUUAUUGCAUGAUAAUUGAUUGAAAGCUGCUAUUGCAUCACUACCAGAUGGACCUGCGUUGUAUUAGCUAGUAGGUGAGGUAACGGCUCACCUAGGCGACGAUACAUAGCCGACCUGAGAGGGUGAUCGGCCACACUGGGACUGAGACACGGCCCAGACUCCUACGGGAGGCAGCAGUAGGGAAUCUUCGGCAAUGGACGAAAGUCUGACCGAGCAACGCCGCGGGAGUGAAGAAGGGUGUCGGAUCGUAAAGCUCUGUUGUAAGAGAAGAACGGGUGUGAGAGUGGAAAGUUCACACUGUGACGGUAGCUUACCAGAAAGGGACGGCUAACUACGUG